Molecule: ribosomal RNA, 636 nt
Filed under: Wolbachia endosymbiont of Tetranychus urticae
Lineage: Bacteria; Pseudomonadati; Pseudomonadota; Alphaproteobacteria; Rickettsiales; Anaplasmataceae
Description: bacterial SSU rRNA
Rfam family: Bacterial small subunit ribosomal RNA
Source: RNAcentral
UGGGGGAAAAAAUUUAUUGCUAUUAGAUGAGCCUAUAUUAGAUUAGCUAGUUGGUGGGGUAAUAGCCUACCAAGGUAAUGAUCUAUAGCUGAUCUGAGAGGAUGAUCAGCCACACUGGAACUGAGAUACGGUCCAGACUCCUACGGGAGGCAGCAGUGGGGAAUAUUGGACAAUGGGCGAAAGCCUGAUCCAGCCAUGCCGCAUGAGUGAAGAAGGCCUUUGGGUUGUAAAGCUCUUUUAGUGAGGAAGAUAAUGACGGUACUCACAGAAGAAGUCCUGGCUAACUCCGUGCCAGCAGCCGCGGUAAUACGGAGAGGGCUAGCGUUAUUCGGAAUUAUUGGGCGUAAAGGGCGCGUAGGCUGGUUAAUAAGUUAAAAGUGAAAUCCCGAGGCUUAACCUUGGAAUUGCUUUUAAAACUAUUAAUCUAGAGAUUGAAAGAGGAUAGAGGAAUUCCUGAUGUAGAGGUAAAAUUCGUAAAUAUUAGGAGGAACACCGGUGGCGAAGGCGUCUAUCUGGUUCAAAUCUGACGCUGAAGCGCGAAGGCGUGGGGAGCAAACAGGAUUAGAUACCCUGGUAGUCCACGCUGUAAACGAUGAAUGUUAAAUAUGGGGAGUUUACUUUCUGUUUUUACAGCUA